CGUAGGGUGCGAGCGUUAAUCGGAAUUACUGGGCGUAAAGCGUGCGCAGGCGGUUUGUUAAGAUAGGCGUGAAAUCCCCGGGCUCAACCUGGGAACUGCGCUUAUGACUGGCAAGCUAGAGUACGGCAGAGGGGGUGGAAUUCCACGUGUAGCAGUGAAAUGCGUAGAGAUGUGGAGGAACACCAAUGGCGAAGGCAGCCCCCUGGGUCGAUACUGACGCUCAUGCACGAAAGCGUGGGUAGCAAACAGGAUUAGAUACCCUGGUAGUCCACGCCCUAAACGAUGUCAACUAGGUGUUGGGAGGGUAAAACCUUUUAGUACCAGAGCUAACGCGUGAAGUUGACCGCCUGGGGAGUACGGCCGCAAGGUUA
RNAcentral lists this ribosomal RNA (371 nucleotides) under uncultured organism. RNAcentral describes it as "bacterial SSU rRNA". It matches the Rfam family "Bacterial small subunit ribosomal RNA", at positions 526 to 896 of the family's 1533-position model. The record is from RNAcentral.